This 1416-nucleotide ribosomal RNA is filed under the name Vibrio parahaemolyticus. RNAcentral's name for it is "bacterial SSU rRNA". It matches the Rfam family "Bacterial small subunit ribosomal RNA". Lineage: Bacteria; Pseudomonadati; Pseudomonadota; Gammaproteobacteria; Vibrionales; Vibrionaceae. The record is from RNAcentral. RNAcentral also lists the same sequence under 1 other name.
GGACGGGUGAGUAAUGCCUAGGAAAUUGCCCUGAUGUGGGGGAUAACCAUUGGAAACGAUGGCUAAUACCGCAUGAUGCCUACGGGCCAAAGAGGGGGACCUUCGGGCCUCUCGCGUCAGGAUAUGCCUAGGUGGGAUUAGCUAGUUGGUGAGGUAAGGGCUCACCAAGGCGACGAUCCCUAGCUGGUCUGAGAGGAUGAUCAGCCACACUGGAACUGAGACACGGUCCAGACUCCUACGGGAGGCAGCAGUGGGGAAUAUUGCACAAUGGGCGCAAGCCUGAUGCAGCCAUGCCGCGUGUGUGAAGAAGGCCUUCGGGUUGUAAAGCACUUUCAGUCGUGAGGAAGGUAGUGUAGUUAAUAGCUGCAUUAUUUGACGUUAGCGACAGAAGAAGCACCGGCUAACUCCGUGCCAGCAGCCGCGGUAAUACGGAGGGUGCGAGCGUUAAUCGGAAUUACUGGGCGUAAAGCGCAUGCAGGUGGUUUGUUAAGUCAGAUGUGAAAGCCCGGGGCUCAACCUCGGAAUUGCAUUUGAAACUGGCAGACUAGAGUACUGUAGAGGGGGGUAGAAUUUCAGGUGUAGCGGUGAAAUGCGUAGAGAUCUGAAGGAAUACCGGUGGCGAAGGCGGCCCCCUGGACAGAUACUGACACUCAGAUGCGAAAGCGUGGGGAGCAAACAGGAUUAGAUACCCUGGUAGUCCACGCCGUAAACGAUGUCUACUUGGAGGUUGUGGCCUUGAGCCGUGGCUUUCGGAGCUAACGCGUUAAGUAGACCGCCUGGGGAGUACGGUCGCAAGAUUAAAACUCAAAUGAAUUGACGGGGGCCCGCACAAGCGGUGGAGCAUGUGGUUUAAUUCGAUGCAACGCGAAGAACCUUACCUACUCUUGACAUCCAGAGAACUUUCCAGAGAUGGAUUGGUGCCUUCGGGAACUCUGAGACAGGUGCUGCAUGGCUGUCGUCAGCUCGUGUUGUGAAAUGUUGGGUUAAGUCCCGCAACGAGCGCAACCCUUAUCCUUGUUUGCCAGCGAGUAAUGUCGGGAACUCCAGGGAGACUGCCGGUGAUAAACCGGAGGAAGGUGGGGACGACGUCAAGUCAUCAUGGCCCUUACGAGUAGGGCUACACACGUGCUACAAUGGCGCAUACAGAGGGCAGCCAACUUGCGAAAGUGAGCGAAUCCCAAAAAGUGCGUCGUAGUCCGGAUUGGAGUCUGCAACUCGACUCCAUGAAGUCGGAAUCGCUAGUAAUCGUGGAUCAGAAUGCCACGGUGAAUACGUUCCCGGGCCUUGUACACACCGCCCGUCACACCAUGGGAGUGGGCUGCAAAAGAAGUAGGUAGUUUAACCUUCGGGGGGACGCUUACCACUUUGUGGUUCAUGACUGGGGUGAAGUCGUAACAAGGUAGCGCUAGGGGAACC